GGGUCAGUGGUUGGUGAGUAUUUAGUAGUGGUCAGAGGUUGGUGAGUAGUUAGAAGUGGUCAGUUGUCAAGGUUGGUGAGUAGUUAGUAGUGGUCAGUGGUUGGUGAGUAGUUAGUAGUGGUCAGUGGUUGGUGUGUAGUUAGUAGUGGUCAGAGGUUGGUGAGUAGUUAGUAGUGGUCAGUGGUUGGUGAGUAGUUAGUAGUGGCCAGUGGUUGGUGAGUAGUUAGUAGGGGUCAGUGGUUGCUGGUUGGUGAGUAGUUAGUAGUGGUCAGUGGUUGG
Long non-coding RNA from Oncorhynchus tshawytscha (Chinook salmon), 279 nucleotides. The record is from Ensembl. Lineage: Eukaryota; Metazoa; Chordata; Actinopteri; Salmoniformes; Salmonidae.